RNAcentral lists this ribosomal RNA (942 nucleotides) under uncultured archaeon. Its description in RNAcentral is "bacterial SSU rRNA". It matches the Rfam family "Archaeal small subunit ribosomal RNA", at positions 1 to 925 of the family's 1478-position model. The record is from RNAcentral.
UUCCGGUUGAUCCUGCCGGACCCUACUGCUAUCGGGGCGGGACUAAGACAUGCAAGUCGUGCGUCUCUAAGCCAUGGUGGAGACGCGGCGUACGGCUCAGUAACACGUGGCUAACCUACCCUUAGGACGGAGACAACCCCGGGAAACUGGGGCUAAUACCCGAUAGGUGAGGAGGCCUGGAAUGGUUCUUCGCUGAAAAGGCGUUGAAACCAUGCUUUUCAACGUCGCCUAAGGAUGGGGCCGCGCCCGAUCAGGUUGUUGGUGGGGUAACGGCUCACCAAGCCUAUAACCGGUACGGGCCGUGAGAGCGGGAGCCCGGAGAUGGGCACUGAGACAAGGGCCCAGGCCCUACGGGGCGCAGCAGUCGCGAAAACUCCGCAAUGCGCGAAAGCGUGACGGGGCUACCCCGAGUGCCGUCCGCUGAGGAUGGCUUUUCCCCGGUGUAAUGAGCCGGGGGAAUAAGGAGAGGGCAAGUCUGGUGUCAGCCGCCGCGGUAAUACCAGCUCUCCGAGUAGUAGGGACGAUUAUUGGGCUUAAAGCGUCCGUAGCCGGCUUAGCAAGUCUCCUGUUAAAUUCAGCGACCUAAUCGUUGAGCCGCGGGAGAUACUACUAGGCUAGGAGGCGGGAGAGGCCGACGGUAUUCCCGGGGUAGGGGUGAAAUCCUAUAAUCCCGGGAGGACCACCAGUGGCGAAGGCUGUCGGCUAGAACGCGCUCGACGGUGAGGGACGAAAGCUGGGGGAGCGAACCGGAUUAGAUACCCGGGUAGUCCCAGCUGUAAACGAUGCGGGCUAGGUGUUGAGGUGGCUACGAGCCACUUCAGUGCCGCAGGAAGCCAUUAAGCCCGCCGCCUGGGGAGUACGGCCGCAAGGCUGAAACUUAAAGGAAUUGGCGGGGGAGCACACAAGCGUGAAGCUUGCGUUCAUUGGAUCAACGCGGUAAUC